This 416-nucleotide ribosomal RNA is filed under the name Halomonas sp. AEP1. RNAcentral describes it as "bacterial SSU rRNA". It matches the Rfam family "Bacterial small subunit ribosomal RNA", at positions 981 to 1397 of the family's 1533-position model. Lineage: Bacteria; Pseudomonadati; Pseudomonadota; Gammaproteobacteria; Oceanospirillales; Halomonadaceae. The record is from RNAcentral.
UUGACAUCUACAGAAGCCGGAGAGAUUCUGGAGUGCCUUCGGGAACUGUAAGACAGGUGCUGCAUGGCUGUCGUCAGCUCGUGUUGUGAAAUGUUGGGUUAAGUCCCGUAACGAGCGCAACCCUUGUCCUUAUUUGCCAGCGAGUAAUGGCCGUAACUCUAAGGAGACUGCCGGUGACAAACCGGAGGAAGGUGGGGACGACGUCAAGUCAUCAUGGCCCUUACGGGUAGGGCUACACACGUGCUACAAUGGCCGGUACAAAGGGCUGCAAGCUCGCGAGCGUAAGCGAAUCCCCUAAAGCCGGUCUCAGUCCGGAUCGGAGUCUGCAACUCGACUCCGUGAAGUCGGAAUCGCUAGUAAUCGUGAAUCAGAAUGUCACGGUGAAUACGUUCCCGGGCCUUGUACACACCGCCCGU